RNAcentral lists this unclassified non-coding RNA (252 nucleotides) under Hevea brasiliensis (rubber tree). The record is from RNAcentral. Lineage: Eukaryota; Viridiplantae; Streptophyta; Magnoliopsida; Malpighiales; Euphorbiaceae.
GGUCGUUUUAUCCUCGCGUGCUGUGUUUUGUGCAAGAGAAGGAAGAGGGAGCAUUAAUGGUGUGGUCGCAGUUCCCGAGGAAAGGCUGAGUUUUGCAACUGUAAAGAGCCUUUUGCCAUGUUACCGUUCCCAGAAAGAGCUUAGUAGUUGGGAACGUUGCCAAAAAAAGAAGAGACUUGCGACCCCACCCUUUAAACAUGUGGCGCUUUAAUUUCACUUCUGUCGAACUUGGCAACUAUACGGGUAAUUUUU